GCAGCGGGGUGGCCGCCUCGAGCCCCCACCUGCCGGGGGGGCACCAAGCAGAGAGUGGGCUGCAGCUGGAAAACAGGGCAGGGGGAGAAGGGCCCCGCGACAGAGCAGCUCCACGGGGCUGGAAAAGCAGAUUUGAGAUGCUGCGUGGAGCUACGAGUCUUGAGGUUUUGGGUUUGCUUUGUGUUUUUUUUUUUUUUUUUUUUUUUUUAGUUCUCAUUUGUUUUUCUAAGAAAAAGCAACCAGAAAAUAAUUCGGAGUUUAUACAAAACAUCUUUACAUUAUUUCUCCCAAAAAAGACUAGUAUUUACACAAACAGAACAAAACAAAACAACGAAAAAAAAAAAAAAAAGAACUUCAACGCUUCCAAUGAAAAGAACAGAAGGGACACUCAGUUUCAGGACCCAGCAGACCGAGGUGCUCAGCAAAAAUCAAGAGUUCCGAUUUCACCCUUUCUGCACAUAUUUACAAGUGUUUUUUUUUUUUUUUCAGCUGCCCGCCUCAGAAGGAGCUGGGCUGCCCGGGGCCAGCGGCCACCCCGGAGCGCCAGCAGGGCCAGCCACGAGGACUCGCUGCUUGGCUUUUGGCACGCUGCGUGGCCAGAUCCUCAGCAAAUCAACCCAAAACCUGCCGCGCCCCCCCCUGCCCCAGCCUCGCCAGGUGAAACUCCUGCACCGAACCCUCCCCAGCUCCUGCCCGCUGGGCUCUGCUCCCCUGGGGACCUCCAGGUCGGAAUUUGGGGGGGAUUUUUUUUUUUUUAAGACACAAUUUGAUGGAGAGCAGACCCCGUCCCCUUUGGCAGCGCCGGCACAGCGCAGCACCUGCAUAGACGCCCCGAGGGGAAGGCAAGGGGCUGGGGGGGGAGGAGGGGAUCCAAAAGGUGCUGGGGGGGAGCGGGGAGAAGGGCUGGGCAGGGCAGCCCCCAGUCCCAGCUCCCCCCUGCCGCAGGCAGUGACCGCGUU
Molecule: long non-coding RNA, 959 nt
Filed under: Anas platyrhynchos platyrhynchos (common mallard)
Lineage: Eukaryota; Metazoa; Chordata; Aves; Anseriformes; Anatidae
Description: lncRNA (ENSAPLG00000019148.1)
Source: RNAcentral